GAAGCCGGUGGUCAGCUCGCUCCCCGGCCACCCGCCAGUCCGCCCCCGCUCCCGGGGUCGGUGCGGGAGCGCGCGCUGAAGGCGAUGCCUGGGGGCGCGGGCCCCUUUCCGCCCUCCGGACCUUCAACUUUGUCAGCCUGGACUUCCUGGCCUCGAGGACCUUCUGGCCCCUUUUUGCCAGGUUUCCCGCUCUGAAUCACCAUUUAAGAAGUCCAGGUACCCUGCUGGCCAGAUGAAGUAGAGAGACGGAACACACAGGCCCUUAGACUACACGGAGAGAGAGAAGCUUGACUGUCCCGGCUGACCCCACCUCAGCUGACCUGCCAGCUGAAUGCAGCUAUAUGGGCCACCAGCAAGACCGACAGAACCGCCCACUGAGCCUGCCAAGAAUACAGAACCAUGAGCCACGAGCCAUAGUUGUUUCAAGCCACUUAGUUUCGGGUAGUUUGUUAAACCGCAGCGAAAGACCGAAACAGGGUGCAAGAUAACAUCACACACAGAAGACCUGGGAAUUAAACAUUUGUUGGGGGCAAAAAACUAUUUUUCAGGGGCACCUGGAUGGCUCAGUUAACCACCCAACUCUUGAUUUUGGCUCGGGUCAUGAUCUCACAGUUUGUGAGUUCAAGCCCCGCAUCAGGCUCUGUGCUGACAGCUUAAAGCCUGGAGCCUGCUUCGAAUUCUGUGUCUCCCUCUCUCUCUGUUCCUCCCCUGCUCGCACUCUGUCUUUGUCUCUCAAAAAUAAAGAAAGAUUAAAUAUAUUUUUUAAAUAAAUAAACUUAAAAAAAAUUUUUUUUAAGUAUUUUUCAGGGGCGCCUCAGUGACUCAGUCGGUUAGGCAUCCGACUUCCGCUCAGGUCAUGAUCUCACGGUUUGUGAGUUCGAGUCCCGGGUCGGGCUCUGUGCUGACAACCUAGAGCCUGCUUUGGAUUCUGUGUCUCCCUCUCUCUCUUCCCUUCCCCUGCUCAUGCUCUGUCUCUGUCUCUCAAAAAUAAACAUUUAAAAAAAUUAAAAAAUAAAAAGUAUUUUUCAAUUCUUUUUCUUA
Molecule: long non-coding RNA, 1041 nt
Organism: Neofelis nebulosa (Clouded leopard)
Lineage: Eukaryota; Metazoa; Chordata; Mammalia; Carnivora; Felidae
Exons: 2
Source: RefSeq, a predicted model, not a curated record